RNAcentral lists this small RNA (94 nucleotides) under Manihot esculenta (cassava). The record is from RNAcentral. Lineage: Eukaryota; Viridiplantae; Streptophyta; Magnoliopsida; Malpighiales; Euphorbiaceae.
GAGUUAGAGCCAAGAAUGACUUGCCGGCUAGCGAUAGGCUAUAUUGCUACAAGGCAUAAAAAAAAAGCUGCGGGAAGUCAUUCUGGCUCUACUU